Molecule: transfer RNA, 70 nt
Filed under: Trachipterus trachypterus (ribbon fish)
Lineage: Eukaryota; Metazoa; Chordata; Actinopteri; Lampriformes; Trachipteridae
Description: tRNA-His
Rfam family: tRNA
About the family: Transfer RNA (tRNA) molecules are approximately 80 nucleotides in length. Their secondary structure includes four short double-helical elements and three loops (D, anti-codon, and T loops). Further hydrogen bonds mediate the characteristic L-shaped molecular structure. tRNAs have two regions of fundamental functional importance: the anti-codon, which is responsible for specific mRNA codon recognition, and the 3' end, to which the tRNAs corresponding amino acid is attached (by aminoacyl-tRNA synthetases). tRNAs cope with the degeneracy of the genetic code in two manners: having more than one tRNA (with a specific anti-codon) for a particular amino acid; and 'wobble' base-pairing, i.e. permitting non-standard base-pairing at the 3rd anti-codon position.
Source: RNAcentral
GUAGGCAUAAUUUAAUUUAAAAUGUUAGGUUGUGAUCCUAAAACUGAGGGUUGAAGUCCCCCUGCCCACC